RNAcentral lists this ribosomal RNA (587 nucleotides) under uncultured bacterium. RNAcentral's name for it is "partial 16S ribosomal RNA". It matches the Rfam family "Bacterial small subunit ribosomal RNA", at positions 355 to 1375 of the family's 1533-position model. The record is from RNAcentral.
UGGGGAAUUUUGGACAAUGGGCGAAAGCCUGAUCCAGCAAUGCCGCGUGUGUGAAGAAGGCCUUCGGGUUGUAAAGCACUUUUGUCCGGAAAGAAAUCCUCUGGGUUAAUACCUCGGGGGGAGUGACGGUACCGGAAGAAUAAGCACCGGCUAACUACGUGCCAGCAGCCGCGGUAAUACGUAGGGUGCAAGCGUUAAUCGGAAUUACUGGGCGUAAAGCGUGCGCAGGCGGUUUUGUAAGACGGAUGUGAAAUCCCCGGGCUUAACCUGGGAACUGCAUUCGUGACUGCAAGGCUAGAGUAUGGCAGAGGGGGGUAGAAUUCCACGUGUAGCAGUGAAAUGCGUAGAGAUGUGGAGGAAUACCGAUGGCGAAGGCAGCCCCCUGGGCCAAUACUGACGCUCAUGCACGAAAGCGUGGGGAGCAAACAGGAUUAGAUACCCUGGUAGUCCACGCCCUAAACGAUGUCAACUAGUUGUUGGGGGAUUCAUUUCCUUAGUAACGUAGCUAACGCGUGAAGUUGACCGCCUGGGGAGUACGGUCGCAAGAUUAAAACUUAAAUGAAUUGACGGGGUCAUAGCUGUUUCCU